RNAcentral lists this ribosomal RNA (478 nucleotides) under uncultured marine eukaryote. RNAcentral's name for it is "SSU rRNA". It matches the Rfam family "Eukaryotic small subunit ribosomal RNA", at positions 621 to 1119 of the family's 1831-position model. The record is from RNAcentral.
AAAAAGCUCGUAGUCGGAUUUUGGCUGAGAACGGUCGGUCCGCCGUUAGGUGUGCACUGACUGGUCUCAGCUUCCUGGUGAGGAGGUGUGCUUCAUCGCCACUUAGUCACCGUGGUUACUUUGAAAAAAUUAGAGUGUUCAAAGCGGGCUUACGCUUGAAUAUAUUAGCAUGGAAUAACACCAUAGGACUCCUGUCCUAUUUCGUUGGUCUCGGGACGGGAGUAAUGAUUAAGAGGUACAGUUGGGGGCAUUCGUAUUUCAUUGUCAGAGGUGAAAUUCUUGGAUUUAUGAAAGACGAACUUCUGCGAAAGCAUUUGCCAAGGAUGUUUUCAUUGAUCAAGAACGAAAGUUGGGGGCUCGAAGAUGAUUAGAUACCAUCCUAGUCUCAACCAUAAACGAUGCCGACUAGGGAUUGGCGGAUGUUAAUUGAUGACUUCGCCAGCACCUUAUGAGAAAUCAAAGUUUUUGGGUUCCGGGG